AAAAGCGGAGGAAAAGAAACCAACAGGGAUUGCCUCAGUAACGGCGAGUGAAGCGGCAAAAGCUCAAAUUUGAAAUCCCCCGGGAAUUGUAAUUUGAAGAGAUUUGGGUCCGGCCGGCGGGGGUUAAGUCCACUGGAAAGUGGCGCCACAGAGGGUGACAGCCCCGUGAACCCCUUUAACGCCCUCAUCCCAGAUCUCCAAGAGUCGAGUUGUUUGGGAAUGCAGCUCUAAGUGGGUGGUAAAUUCCAUCUAAAGCUAAAUACCGGCGAGAGACCGAUAGCGAACAAGUACAGUGAUGGAAAGAUGAAAAGCACUUUGAAAAGAGAGUGAAAAAGUACGUGAAAUUGUUGAAAGGGAAGGGCUUGCAAGCAGACACUUAACUGGGCCAGCAUCGGGGCGGCGGGGAGCAAAACCACCGGGGAAUGUACCUUUCGAGGAUUAUAACCCCGGCCCUUACUCCCAUACCACCCCGAGGCCUGCAAUCUAAGGAUGCUGGCGUAAUGGUUGCAAGUCGCCCGUCUUGAA
This 525-nucleotide ribosomal RNA is filed under the name Metschnikowia sp. 11-1089. Its description in RNAcentral is "eukaryotic LSU rRNA". It matches the Rfam family "Eukaryotic large subunit ribosomal RNA", at positions 46 to 658 of the family's 3401-position model. The record is from RNAcentral. Lineage: Eukaryota; Fungi; Ascomycota; Pichiomycetes; Serinales; Metschnikowiaceae.